CUAGAGAGUUUGUGUCAGUCACUUCGAGUCAGCGUCACGUAUCAGACUUGGUAAUCGCUGCCUCUUUCCUUUGCGGUUUCCCAAUUUUUGGAUAAGUUUAGGAUGGCGAGCAAGACACCGAGUGUGGAGUUCAAUAAUGGCAAUCGAUCGCCUAUUCUGGGACUGGGCACCUGGAAGUCCCAGACGGGCGGAGAGGUGAAACAGGCGGUGAAAGAUGCUAUCGACAUCGGGUAUAGACAUAUCGAUUGCUCCCCAGUGUACGGGAAUGAAAAGGAAGUCGGUGAAGCUAUUAAUGAAAAAAUCAAGGAAGGAGUUAUAAAACGAGAGGAUAUCUUUGUUACCAGCAAGUUGUGGAAUACCGCACACAGGCCUGACCUUGUUGAGCCUGCUUUAAAGAAGACUCUGAGCGAUCUGGGACUCGAAUAUCUUGAUCUUUAUCUAAUUCAUUGGCCGUUCGCUUUCAAAGAGGGGGAAGAAAUUUUCCCCAGCGAUGCCGAUGGCAAGACGCAAUCUAGCGACGUUGACUACGUCGAUACUUGGAAGGCCAUGGAGAAUGUAUUUGAAAAAGGCCUUGCGAAAAAUAUUGGUAUCAGCAACUUCAACUCCCAGCAAAUCGAUAGAUUGUUAUCAAACUGCAAGGUGAAGCCAUCUACCAAUCAGGUGGAAUGUCAUCCUUAUCUUCCUCAAGUAAAACUUUCCGAGUUCUGUAAGUCGAAGGGUAUCGUGAUAACCGCCUACAGCCCUCUUGGCUCUCCGGACAGACCUUGGGCCAAACCCAAUGAUCCGUUACUGUUAGAGGAUCCUAAAAUCAAGUCGCUGGCCACGAAGUACAAAAAAACGCCGGCUCAAGUCGUCCUUCGGUAUCAGGUUCAGCGUGGACACAUCGUUAUACCAAAAUCGGUUUCAAAGAAACGCCUGAAGGAGAACUUUGAAAUCUUUGAUUUCACUCUGGCGCCUGAAGACAUCCAACUUAUUCAUACCUUUGAUUGCAAUGGACGGAUUUGCCCCAUGUCGAGCUCCGUUCACAAUAAGCAUUAUCCGUUCCACAUCGAGUUCUAAUUUAACCACGGAUAUUUCUUCAAUUUUCUCUGCUUAAACGAAUGAGCUAAAAUGUUCCGAUGACAAUGAAAAUAACUCGUUUGCCACG
This 1147-nucleotide unclassified non-coding RNA is filed under the name Orussus abietinus. RNAcentral describes it as "aldose reductase, transcript variant X1". Lineage: Eukaryota; Metazoa; Arthropoda; Insecta; Hymenoptera; Orussidae. The record is from RNAcentral.